GAAAAACAUGCAAACUCUUCUGCAUUUGACGUUCUGUGUGGACUGGGGAGAAUGCAGGGUGCCUCUGUUUGAUUUCAGGAGGAGAGCUGUGUUAUCUUCAUGUGACCGUGGCUUCUUACCCAUGUGCUUUCCUGGUCUCUUUCAUUUUCACACCUGCCUUGAUCUUUAAUCGCUCAAAUUAUUCAUAGACUUGCCCUGGAAGAAGAAGAGGCUGACCUCUUCCCAUCUGGAGUAGAUGGAUUUACUAUCAGUAAUUGUAAAUGGACUCGGAUGACUUAAUGGUUUUUGUGCUUAAAUUUUUUAAUUCUGUGAUUUCAUUUCUUUUUAAGGAUUCUGCCCACAGCUUCCCUGAACUGAUAGAUCUCUAUGGUAUAACUUCAAGUUACUUUGUGCAAAUUGUAUCUUAACAUUGGGCUCGCAUCCACAACGUGCUGAUGAUCCCCCAUUGACUGCUGAGUUGUCAAAGAGCUCCGUUUGCACAGGACCAGGCCUGGAAGUUGCAGUUGUCUUUUUUUUUUUUCCCCCUGUAAUUAUAUACAAUGUCUUUCAUUACAAAGAACCUGAAGACAAUUUAUGAAAUCAGCAGCCACAAAAGUAAUGCGGUGCCCGUUGGGGGUUAUGUAUUCACAUUGAUUACAAUUUAACAAUCCCUCAGCCUGAGGAUAUCUGAGAGGACUUAGCGCCAACUGCUUUUCAAUCCGUGCGUGUUGCUAUAAGCUGCAAGCUGGAACUGAUAGAUAUCUGUUGCUAUUGCCAGCAACUAUUGGUUCUCUGUUACUUCAGUACCUUAAUUUAAAUUAUUAAGAAACUUGUGAAUCUGUUUUGUUUUUCUACUCUUCCUAGCACUGAUACUUCAUCUGGCCUAGAUGUACAAUGAAUACUUUGGUGAAUGUGAUUUAGUCCAGUUUCCUCCAUUAACUCAAGAAAGACUUCUUUUCUAUAUCGCUUUUCUCUCAAAAGGAGAGAAGACGUGCACAGCUGGAGUUCACCUGGACAAACUGAACUUGGAGCAGAAUAAGAUGCAAAAUGAGAACAUUUGUGAUUUAGACUCAAGAAACUUUGUGUUGUUCUGCUGUAGAAUUGUACUUGGUAAAAAUCAACCAGAGGGAACCACCUGUAACCAAACACAUCUUGAUGAUGGAGGGAGCACUACGAGGUGACUUCAAUGACUCAGCUUUGGAGCUGUGUAUUUAGAUAGCCAUCCCAUAUUUCCUCAGUGCUGUCUUUUGCAUACUGUGCUGCUGUUCUCUCCGUUUUGCUCUUCCUAAUUCUGAGAAUGCAAUGAUUUGGUUUUUUUCCACAAGCAGAUGACAGUUUGCUGUCUCCCCAGUGUCUUCCCAUGGUUGCCUGUAUGAGGUAAGUUACAUUCUGAUACUAAUGCUGUAUUCUCUGCAGCUACAUGUUCUACAUUCUACACUUCAGAAAUCAGCAGCUCUCUAGCUUCCUAGGUUUUAGCUGAGUUUAACCUUUGGUGAUUGGUAAACAGACUUGUUAAGAAAAUUCAUGGCCCGGUCAUUCGUCUUUCAAAUUCCAGAGUCUUGUCAAGCAAACUCUGCACCCUUGUCAGUCUACGUGUCAGUGUCCCUCUCAUGGCAGUUUCUGGCUUUUCUGUUGGAGAUGGGAACUUAGAAAGGCAUCUUUAGGAUGAUGGAUGUUCUGUGUGGGUACAGAUAGCAGUAUUUUUGGUGCAAAUAAGGAAAGAAAAUGCUCUCCAACAUCUGAAUGUAGAUGCAAAAUAACAGAAUCACAGAAUGGCCUGAGUUGGAAGGGACAUCAAGGAUCAUGAAUCUCCAACCCCCACAGGCAGAGUGAACAGAACCAUGCAGGUUCUUUGUUAAUGCUGGAUCAUUUGUUUCUUCUUCCCUCUGUCUAACAUGUUUGAAAGGUUAUUAAUUGAAAUUAGUUCAGCCAACUUCAUGAAUUAGUGAUGUAUUUCAUAGGCCUGUCUCUGGCCAACACAAAUCUUGCAAGGAAAAAAAGAAACUGUUUUUAUUUUUUUCUAAUUUCUAGCAACAAGGGGAUUGAGGGCACCUUCAGUAGAUCUGCAGACGACAUCAAGUUGGGAGGGAGUGUUGAUCUGCCGGAGGGGAGAAGGGCACUGCAGAGAGAGCUGGGUAGCCUGGAUCGAUGGGCAAGGUUAACUGUAUGCAUUUCAGUAGGGCCAAGAGUUGGGUCCUGCAUUUUGGUCACAGCAACCCCAGGCAACCCUACGGGAUUGGGGAAGAGUGGCUGGAAGCUGCCUGGUGGAAAGGGACCUUGGUGUGCUGAUGGACAGUGGGCUGAAUAUGAGCCAGCAGUGUGCCCAGGUGGCCAAGAACACCAAUGGCAUCCUGGCUUGGAUCAGGAAUGCUGUGGUGAGCAGGACUGGGGAAGUCAUCCUGCCCUGCACUCAGCACUGCUGAGGCCUCACCUCGAGUGCUGUGUUCAGAUUUGGGCACCUCAGCACAGAAAGGACACGGAGGUGCUGCAGCAGGUCCAAAGCAGGGCAACAAGGCUGGGGAAGGGCUUGGAGGAUAUGGCCUCCGAGGAGAGACUGAAGGAACUGGGGCUGUUCGGUCUGGGGAGAAGGAGGCUGAGGGCAGACCUUAUUGCCCUCUUCCAAUACCUGAAAGGUGACAACAGCAGAGCGGGGUUGGUCUCUUCUCACUGGUGACAGGACGAGGGGGAAUGGCCUCAAGUUGCGCCAGGGUAAGUUUAGGUUGGAUAUCAGGAAAAACCUUUACAGAAAGGGUUGUUAAGCACUGCAGUGGGCUGCCCAGGGAGGUGGCUGAGUCACCAUCCCUGGAUGUGCUUAAAAACCGUUUGGAUGUGGUGCUCAGGGACAUGAUUUAGCAGGGGGUUGUUAGGGCAGUAGGUCAUGGUUGGACUUGAUGAUCUUUAAGGUUUUUUCCCAACCUGAAUUAUUCUAUGGCUCUAGGGGUAAACCCAGGAACACACACAUCUCUUAUCAAACUGUUUGAGAUAUACACAGGUCUCCUUGAAAGUAAUGCCUCCUUAUUAUUUCCUUGGAAACAACAACAGAUACGAAGAGCACAUUAACACUAUUUGAUAGAGGAAGGUCUUAGCUGCAAAACACUCUUUUUCAACGUAGUCACCACUGUUAGCUGUGCGUUUUCGCAAUGAAGAGGAGCCUGCACGCCAUACAUCAAAAUCUGUGCUGGUGAAGGUGAUCUGCUGCCAGUACUGCUGAAACGCAGCACCCACUGCCUCACUGUGCUCACAUCGACGUUCAACAAAUGUCAAUGAACUUCAUGCUGUUUUUUUCCACGUGGAAGAAUUCAGUUCCACACCUUCGCUUCAUACGCAUGUCCAUGUCAGCUGUGAUUCUGUCAGCAUGCCCCUCUGCUGCCAUCUGCCACAACAAAAUAUAAUGGACUGUUGGCAGGAAGGCUCAACUACUGCCAUGCCACCAACAGCUGCCUGUGGCGUUGUGAGACAAUGUAAUAUAGGAGGCACUACCUUUGGAACAGCUCUGCUCAUUGUUUAGCACCAUUAUAAUUUUCCAGCUACCCCUUCAACAAUUGCAGUUGCAAGUUGAUGUGGCUAUAACUGAUGUGGCUUGGAGUGCAGGUUGUGUCCCAAAGGAUGCUCGUGUGCAGACUGCAUCUCUUCUUGAUCCCAUAGUAACGCUGCAGCUAAUUCUGAUGGUUUCAGCUCUUCUGAUGAGCUACCACACUGCUUUUUGUUUUGUCUUUCUUUUCUGAGUUUAAACAGUGCAUCUUGUAUUUGUUCAACUUAAGGUUACUUUUUACUUUCAGUGCUUUUGUAAUGUCUCCAUUACUUAUGGGAGCUGAGGGUGGUCUUUUUGAUUCAAAGUGUUUGAUGAAUAUAUUUGUAGGCAUCUGCAAACUUUGUCCUUGCUUCAUCUACUUAUUCUGUGUUUACUUUAAGAUAAAACUAUCUUCUCUCCCCUAGAUACGAUGGGUCUUUCCUUCAGCUAUAGUAGAGCUUCCUGUUGGUGUUUUGUUGUUUCUGAGUAAGGAAAGUCUGAUAUCUUUCAGCUCAGUUGUUGCUUCAUCUCCUCUGCUCUCCCAGGGGGUCUCACAUGCACUUUCAGUUCUGCCUUACAUUCUUGAUUUCGUGAUGUUCCCUACUAUUUACAUUUCCUCACAUAUAUCCUCUUCAUACCAUCUGCUACUUUAUGUCUUGCUCAUCUCUGAAUUUGGUAACCAUGCUGCAUGCAACAGCAUGCUACCUUAUUUUCUUCAAAUUUAAUAAAAAGGUUUUAAAAGAACAAAGCAAGUUAAAAUUCACCAUUUCUAUCUAGACAUCAUAACUGAAAAAGGAGCCAUUGAAGGCCUUCAAAUCCUCAAGAUGGAUGCAUUUAUAGCUGAGAUCUUGUUUGUUGUUUAUGCGAGAGGCAUGUUAUCCGAUCCGCCACAGAGGUUUCACUACUGACAAAAAUUAAGUUGUUAUAGAAUGCUCCCCUAUCAAUUCUUUUCUUUAGAAUGCAGUAAUUCUACUAAGCAGUAUUUACUUCAGAGUCGGUGUGUGGCUGUGCCUUGUUAGAUAAAAGCUGCAGUACUAAAACUGCUCUACUGAACUUAGCUCCUGACCUCCCUUCUAAGGCCACGUCUACAAAGGGAUGAUACAUCAACCCAGUCCGUUUGAUCUAAUUACAGCUAUUUAACUAUGUUGAGCACAAGUACAUCCAUCUCACUUUGUUAUGCUGAUUUAAAGUAUUUUCACUGUUGAUCAUGUGCAUACCAUCCUUUUUUAUAUCAGUACCUCUCAAAAUACUCUGUGCCAUUAUCCUGCGGAGCGCUAUUCUGCUUCUUAGCUCCAUGUUCUUUUUCACAGCAGGCUGACAGGGAAUUCUCUGGAAUGUGGGAAUCCUACAGGUCAAACUGACAAUUUACUAUUGCUUUUUUCUUGGCAUUGAUUUUUGCCUGUGCAACUUCUUCCUCAAAAUGCUGCAAGGUGGCACGAAGAAAAAGCCAGUAAAUCCAUUAUAAGGCUUGUUCCUCAGAGGCUGCAUAGGUGGAAUGGUUUUCUUCUACAGCUUUGUAAGUAGCAAAAACUCUGUGUAGUAGAAGAAAUGCAAAAAGGGAAACCAUCAGGUAUGAUCAACCUGUAACUUCCAUGCAGUGUUUCUGGAGCAGCUGUGUCUGAGUGCAGUCACUCACAGUGCCUGGGUAGCACAGGAGGCCGAUGCAGCAGCUGAACAGCAGGAUGAGAUGCAUUGCACUCAUGGAAAUCUGUGCAGAUCUCAGCUGCAGAGGUAAAAUGCAAAGCGAGGGCUUCCCUUAACAUGCAGAAGCCCGUUGCUGUCUAUGGAAAAGCAUUAUUUCUGAUUACUUGCGGAACCAGCUGGGUUUGAGUCAGGGAUGUUGUCAUGGGUUUUUUAAUGCAUAUAGCUGAAGAAGAUGCUGAUCUUGUGUCAUAAAGCUAAUGCGUGAGAAGUUACUGAGAGCUUUUCCCAGGUACAAACCAUGAAUUAGGCCAUAGGGGUCCAAGGAACAAAUGUGGCCUAUUGAGCCAGGAGAGAGAAUUUAUGAAGACUGUGAACAGUUUCUUAAUGCUUGCACAAGGCCUUGCUCAUCAGUGAAGGUGAUUUACCAUUAAGUGGAUACAGAACAGUACUACAAAACUUUCUCAUAACAGUCUAGAAACUUGAAAUUGCUCUGAUUUGUACAACAUCUGUAAGAUACUAAAGGGUGGGUGAAGACAAGGAGCAGAAAGGUGAUUUUGAUAUUAUCCAGUGAGAAAAACCUCAGCAAAGUAUUCCCUUUGAGGAAGACCUGUGCACCUUUCUCAACAGAAUUUUUCUCCCUGUACUUUCUAUAAUGGUAUAGCAGUCAGAGAGACAUCAGGAAACUUUGGUCCCAUGUGGAUAUUUAAUGUCCUAUCUUUAAACAUACAUAUCUUCUACCCAUGCUGAUAAUAUUUUUCAUUGUUUCUGCAUCAGUUUUGUUGCUUUAUCAAAUCUUACUGUGAAUUUAGACUAUUUCCUGUCCCAUUUUCAGUGAACAUGAACAUUCAAUUGCCAACAUUCAGCAUAACGAAGUGGAAGUUUGGUAUUUUGUCCCCCCAUGGUUCUCAGGUCAGCUCCCCCCUUUCGUUUUUCUGAGUCACCCAGCAUUCUCCUUGUUCCUUGUGUUCUUCUCUGUUGGUUUUUAUCAGUUUUUAUGUUUUACGUGGUGCCUAAAACAGGAUACAAUAUUCCAGCUGAGAAUUUCACCAGCACUGAGUUGAACAAGGUAUUUAUCGUGGGUGUCCAAUGUAAAAGAACCUUAUUAAAUAUUUCUGUGAUGCAUUAUCUUCAUUGUGUUGACUCAAAUUCAGUUUGUGAUGCAUUACAACCACUGGCUCCUUUAGUGAGCACUGCCUGCUACUCCUCUUAUAUUGCAUGCUUCUGACUUGAUCCUUGGCUACAGAAAACUGCUGAAAACGUCACGUUUUCAGGAGGAGGAAAAGAGAUGAGGAGCUUUUCCAAAGGCACUGCUCCUGUGAAGUCCAGGUGGGUCAGCCUGCCUAUGGAAGAGAGAUUAUCACUUAAUGUUUCUUCACAAUAAUGGGUGGGAAUGACAAAGUUUUGUCAUUAUUCACAGAAAUCCUAAUAUGAGCUGGAGUAGGAAUGUUUGCUUGCAAAUGAGAAAGAAGAUAGUUACAGUACGUGAAUCUUAGAUUAUGCUUCUGGAUAUAUUUUUCCACUCUCCUGUUACUCACAAGUUCUGCAGAACGACUUAAUGAAUGUCCCUUUCAAUAAAUAAUAGUUCUGGCUGCCAGAGUUGAGAUGAAGUGAAGUUAAAAUUGGAAGGCUUUUGAAGAAAGAAGAAAACAACCAGAGAAGUUAUGCAAUUCUGCUUUUGUCCAAAACACUGAGAACAUAAAGAUGCUAUCUAUGGAUGUGAGGUGUUCUCUUUUGGUCUUCCAUGUGGUUAUCAGGUUAGAACACUGCCAGAGCCAACCAAACAAAGAAGACACAGAUGUGUUUCUGCCUAAUGCCCCUUGCAUAUUGUUGUUUAAAGAAACAUGAAGCAGUGGCAAGCGAGGAAGGAAUCUGACAGCAUGGAACGCGGUGUGCUUAAAAUCAUGAAAAACAUCCACUUGAGAACAGAAAAUCCCAACAAGAGCAGCCAAGGUUCGUUUGCGAAAGAGAAGUAUCACUAAAGUAGGCGUAUUUUUAUCUGGAGAAAUUAACAGACCUUUGAUUGGAAGAAUUUGAAUAUUCCUGGAGAAGUUGUGAUCAAAAGUCAUUAGCAAAAAUAAUAGAAAUAUAGUGGAAACCUUUAAUGGUCCUACUGGGUCUCCUUUUUGGAAAGCUCUCCAGGGGCCAUUAUAGUGCUGAGGUGAGUUUGGGUGUGAGUGGAGGUUUGGCUGCAGCAAGGGUCACUGCUCAGUUCUCCGAGUGCAGACUGACAGAUUUUGCUGAGCUCGUGUGUGCUCCAUUGCUGGGUCAGCCUGCACAUUCUGCACGGUGUAUUUCAUGCUGCUUUACGUUCCUGUGACCCGGAUGAAUUUAGCAGGGCGCUGAGCAGCAGGUUUCCUGUGUGUGCUUCUUGCACUUCUGCCCAUCUUAAUCCAGUUCUGUGCACUGUGAUGCGGUCUGUGGUUACAAAUCAAAUAAUAUCAAAUCAAAUAAUUUAUAUCAAAUAAUAAGACCUGCCUUCUCAAAUGCUGUUGCAUUUUGUGACUUUUUUCAGAAUUUUUUUUUUACUUACAUAUCUUGUUUAUUAUAUAUAGUUCAAAUUACUGCAGCAAAUAGGGAUUACUAAUUGUAAUGGAUCUUCUUGAUGUUUUUCACGAUGGUAUCUAAAUACCUUUUAACUUUAAAUGUGUCUUCACAGUAUUGCAAAGUCUUUUCUUCUCAGUGCAUUGAUGCAAAGCAGGGAAAUUAAUGGCAAAGCUAUCAAAACUCUCCACUGCAUCUAUAUAUUCCACAGUGACAAAAAACAAAUUUUCAGCUUGUCCCAGUAAAAUAAUUAGAAAUAUCUUCUUCAGCCACCCACCAGGUUGCAGAUGGAUAGUCCAGGCUGUUGGUGUUUUUUUCCCCAUGAUGCUGAACUGAAGGAGCCUCUGUUGGUCACCAUGCCUUAUGUGGGCACUCACACUUCAUGCUGUCCAUAGAAACGUCAAAUGUUAGCACAAAAGCUGUUGACCUUUUCAGCCUAGCAGCCCCAGCUGAAGGAUUUUUUUUAAUACAUAUAUAUAUUUAAUAAGACCUCCUAUUCUGACUUGCAUUCUCAAGUGUAAUCGGGCCUUUUUGUAUAUUUGGUGCCAACAUAACCCUGUAAUUUCAAUACCUGUUUUCAAACCGUAACCAGCGGUCAGCCUUUCUUUUGUUGGAGUUACCUGAGCUAAAUCUUCAGCCUUUUCUCGUUAUAGAUUCUUUGCCUUUAUAACCAUCUUAGUGAGCCUUUCUACGACCAUUCCAAUUGUCAUGUAUCGUCCACGAAUAUAAACUGUGCUCAGAAUUUUUUCAGUAACAUCUGAGUGUGCCUUACCUGGCCAUCAGAUCACAUUAUCUCCUUCAUUUUCUGUGGUGUGUGGUCAUUCUGUGACCAAGUAUGCUUUCAAGUCUUUGUCCUUCUCCAUUAACUAAGAUGAAUUCCCGUUUACAGGAAUGUUGGCUGUUAGUCCCUGGGUGAGCAGCCUCACGCUUUGCAGUCUUCUCAUUACUGCGUUCCACCCCUGCUGGUCCAGCCUUCGGAAUUCCCAUCUUGUUCAAAAACAUUGUCUGAUUUUCCUCCACGUCUUUUCCCCUCCAGACCUGUACAAAUUACAGUUAAAAACGUAUCUAGAGAAGCUGCUGGGACAGGACAGCUCGUGUCCAGCACUGAGAUCCAGGGACAAGGAAGAGGCGCUUCGUUGACCCACGGCCCACCUCCUCGCCGAGCCCCCAGAGCCGCCGGCGAGCGACGCAGCCGCGCGCCCUCCUCGCUCUCCCUCAAAGGUGGGCUGCGGCCCCGUGCCCCCGCCGCCCCCGGAGGUGCCCGGAAGGUAAGGGAGGCCGCUCCGAGCGCGGCCGCAUCUCCCGACCCCCGCCCCGAGCCGGGCGGCCCAGCCA
Long non-coding RNA from Tympanuchus pallidicinctus (lesser prairie-chicken), 9010 nucleotides. RefSeq lists it as uncharacterized. Lineage: Eukaryota; Metazoa; Chordata; Aves; Galliformes; Phasianidae. The transcript is spliced from 3 exons. The record is from RefSeq and is a predicted model, not a curated record.